RNAcentral lists this ribosomal RNA (317 nucleotides) under uncultured bacterium. RNAcentral describes it as "bacterial SSU rRNA". It matches the Rfam family "Bacterial small subunit ribosomal RNA", at positions 30 to 334 of the family's 1533-position model. The record is from RNAcentral.
AUUGAACGCUGGCGGCAUGCUUUACACAUGCAAGUCGAACGGCAGGCACAGGGAGCUUGCUCCCGGGUGGCGAGUGGCGCACGGGUGAGUAAUACAUCGGAACGUGUCCUGUUGUGGGGGAUAACUCCGGGAAACCGGGGCUAAUACCGGAUAACACCUCGGAUCGCAUGAUCCGAAGUUGAAAGAUGGUUCUGCUAUCACUUACAGAUGGACCCGCGGCGCAUUAGCUAGUUGGUGAGGUAGUGGCUCACCAAGGCAACGAUGCGUAGCCGACCUGAGAGGGUGAUCGGCCACACUGGGACUGAGACACGGCCCAG